UUGAUUUUUCCUGUGAAAAAUUGUUUUAAGCCUUUUAUCUCUACUAAGGUGAAUUUUAGUACAUUGCAUUUUUCAAGGAUGCUAUCCAAUUAUUUAAUUUUUCAAAUAUAUUUGUAUAGAGUCAAACAAAAUAGUCUGUAAGAAUCUUUUAAAAUUUACUUUGUUUCAAGGUUAUUUCCCCCAUAACAUUUUUAAAUUCAUAUAUCUGUGCUUUCUCCUUUUUUUUCUGAGUUAGAUUAGGUGGUAGUUUAUCUAGUUUAUUAAUUUUUCCUCAAGAACAAGCAUUUUGAUUGAUUUAUCAAUUUUGUUAUAUUUUUGCUUGCUGUUUUAUUAAUUUCUACUUCUAUAUUUUAAAAAAUUUUUCUUCUGCUUCCCCCAUCCCCUACCUACUUUUCUGAGUUGGGAAUUUAAUUCAUUUAUUUUUAUUUAUCUAAGUAUCAUAAGUAUGUAGAGCUAUGUAUUUUCCUAUAGUCACUGUUUUAAUUGUAUCUCAUAAAUGUCUUAGGAAGAGUUCAUGAAUAUUUUCUGAGUUUCCAUCUGUAUCAAACUGUUUCCCUAUAGGCUUGGUACUUUAAAAACAGUCUGCCUACAUAUAACACUCUGGGCUCAUAUUUUCCUUUUUUGAGUUUCUUAAAACUGUUCUUGCACAGUUUUCUUGCUUUGUAUGCUGUUUUAUGAUCUUAUUUCCUUUGUAAGUGAUUUGGCCUUUUUUGCUUGGAUGCCCAGAAGAUUGCUUGUAUAUAUUUAAUGUCUAAUAGGCCUAUUAUACUGUGUCUUAGAUGUAUGUCUAUAUAUUACAAUUGACCAUUCUGGGUUAGUCUUCUUAGGUACACAAAUAUAUCCAAGUUUUCUUUUAUUUAUACAAAGUUUUAUUGGAUUGUGGUUUAAUAUGUGAUUAAAUAUGUGAUUUCUCUCAUUUCAUUGUUUUUGUUUUUCUUGCCAGAAACCCAAAUGAUAAUGCCCAGUCUUCUUUCUCUCUGAUGGUUUUCACCUUAUUUAUUUUGUUUUCAUUUUCUUGGAAUUUUUCAUAUAUUUUUAAACUUCUGCUUUGAGAGAAAUCAAUUUUCUCUUGAGUACUUUGAAAUUAUUCUUCCUACAUAAGAUGUUUUUGCCUUUUUCUUUAAUUUCCCUCCUGGGGACUAUCUUUUUUUCGUAUAUUACUUUAUUUAAUUCUGCUUUUCUGAUUUAACAUUUUUUCUUUUUGCAAAAUAUUUGUUUAAAAUAUUUAAUUCAAGAUGGGGUGUUAUGUUACAGAUUGUUUUCAGAGCCUCCAGUUAAAUUGGGGUUCCAGCACCUGUGUGGAUAGCUAAGGGGAAAUGAAGGGGAGCUGGAUAUGGUUGUUUACAAGGUGUCUUUCACGGGACACAUCUUUUACCUGGCAGACAGCCUAGUGUCUAGUUGUCUAACCUGUGACCAGGAAGAUUUCUCACACAGGAAACUUGUUUAUACUGGCAGAUGCCCUUUUGGCUCUUGUCUGACCUGUGUUCAGUUUAUGCCUGCCUGACCAUUGCUCUGGUUCUGGGAGCUCAACUUUGUGCUUCCCCGUCCCAUGUCAGGGAAAGAUAGGCCUGGCGUAGCCCCUGAUUCUUCAGAUGGAAGGUGGGAAUUCAAUACUCCAGCACAAAAGGAAACAAUUAAAAGAUUGUACUUACAAAUCUUGGGCAAGGAAGGUGGGAUGGCAGUCCUCUGUCCUAGGGUCAUGUGAGGCAGAAAUGAAGGAGUCAGGCAGAGAGACAGGGCAUGUGGCAAAUAGUUGUAUGUAUAAGGGAAUACAGUGUGGGUUAUUUUAAGUUCUUAGGCAAAUAUCUGACAGAUUCACUUAAAAGGAAACAGCGGAAGAGUGGGUAGUCCUAUUGAGAGACAGGACUAGCUGGAUUUCCUAAGUCGACUAAGAAUUCCUAAGCCCAGCUGGGGAAGGUUACCACACCCACCUUUAAACGCGGGGCUUGUAACUCAGCUCACACCGGACCCAUCAGGUAGUAAAUAGUGCUCACUAAAAUACCAAUUAGGGUAAAAGCAGGAGGUAAAGAAAUAGUCAAAUCAUCUACUGCCUGAGAGCACCGGGGAGAGACAAUGAUCGGAAAAUAAAUCCAGGCCUUUGUGCCAGCAGGGGCAACCCCCUCUGGGUCCCCUCCCAUUGUAUGUGAGCUCUGUUUUCAUUCUAUUAAAUCUUGCAACUGCACAUUCUUCUGGUCCGUGUUUCUGCCGGCUCAAACUGAGCUUUCGCUCUCCAUCCACCAUGGCUGAACGCCACAGUCGCAGACCUGCCGUUGACUUUCAUCCCUCUGGAUUUGGCAGGGUGUCCACUGAGCUUCUGAUUCAGCGAGGUGCUCAUUGCUGCUCCCAAUCAGGCUAGAGGCUCGCCAUUGUUCCUGCACCGGGAAGUGCCCGGGUUCAUCCUAAUUAGGCUGAACACUAGUCUCUGGGUUCCAUGGUUCUCUUCCGUGACCCACAGCUUCUAAUAGAGCUAUAACACUUACCGCAUGGCCCAAGGUUCCAUUCCUUGGAAUCCCUGAGGCCAAGAACCCCACGUCAGAGAACAAAAGGCUUGCUGCCAUCUUGGGAGCAGCCGGCCCCAUCUUGGGAGUGGCCCACCACCAUCUUGGGAGCUCUAAGAACAAAGACCUGCUGGUAACACUAUCUCUGGCCACCUAUCUCUGGCCUAUCUAUCUCUGGUUCCUAUCUCUGGCCAUGGCUUGAGCCAUUUGGGUGCAGUGAACAGGAAACUGUAAAGAGUGACAGCCCUGCUUCUACAAAAUGGAUGCCAAGUUGUUCCUGCGCGCUCACUCUCUCUCCUGCCACCUUGUGAUGAAGAUGCCUGCUUCCUCUUCUGUCAUGAUUGUAAGUUUCCUGAGGCCUCCCCAGCCAUGUGCAAAUGUUACACCUCCUCCCUCCUUAAAUAGCACUUAGUGUAAUUGAUGCCAAGUUAAUCCCUGUGCUGCCAAGAGAAGUGUCCAUGGGGUAGGAACCGCAUGCUGUUUUACCUGUGCUUAAAGAGGAAAGUGUCACGCGUCUCUGAAGAAACAAUGUUGACUGAAAAAUAGCGCCAAGUCUCAAACAAGAUCUUUGUGAAAAAUAAAGCAUGAAGCACAAAAUGAGAGAGUAAGUCUUAUUAUCUAAGAAUUAAAAUGAUGAUUAAGGUGAUUAUCUUUUUCUUCUUUAUUUUUAAAUAGUUUGCAAAAUUAUAACAAUAGGUAUGCAUUAUUUUAUAAUUAUUGACAACAUGGUGUUUUGUAAAACAAAGUGUAUUAUAUGAAGAAUAUUCUCAAUUUUAUUUGGAGCUAUAAAAAACUAUAAGACUAUGCAGAAGCACAAUAAAAUGCUAACAGUGAGUAUCUCUGAAUAGUGGGAUUAUUGCUAAAUUUUAUCCCACUCUCCUUUGCUUUUUAUUAUUGUCUAAAUUUCGUGCAGUGAGUAUAUGCUACCUUUGUAAUUUAAAAAUAAAGUUGGUUAAUUUUCU
This 3460-nucleotide long non-coding RNA is filed under the name Homo sapiens (human). RNAcentral describes it as "HSALNT0058653". Lineage: Eukaryota; Metazoa; Chordata; Mammalia; Primates; Hominidae. The record is from RNAcentral.